AUGCCGGCGACGUGCGCGGCCUUCUUGAACGAGAAGUGGGUCUGGUCGGAGCAGUAGACGACGAGGUCGCCCAUCCUCUCGUCGCCUCUUAGUUCGGCGAGCUUCCGGUCCCUCGCGGCGACGAUGGUGCAGAGCAUGGCCUCGCACGAAGUCCCCAGCAGCGUGCCGCCGCCGCCACCGCAGAAGAGCAGCUGCUCCGGGAGGUGCAGCGCCUUCCCGAGCCAAUCUGUAACAACGGUCUCUAGCUCGGUGGCCGCCGGCGAGGCGGCCCAGGUGAAAGGGUUGAUGUUGAGGCCCGCGGCUAGGGCCUCGCCGAGCGCGCCCACAUUGCUGGCCGUCGCCGCGAAGUGCGCGAAAUGACGGGGGCUCUGCCAGUGGGUGACGCCGGGAAGGAUGAGCUCGCGGACGUCGCGCAGCGCCGAGGCGAGCGCGUCGGGCUCCGGCCACGACGGCGCCGUGUCGGGAAGCUGCCGGGCUAGGAACCCGGGAGCGACGGUCGGGCGAACAGGGUACUCGUCAAUGCGGUCGUAG
RNAcentral lists this ribosomal RNA (531 nucleotides) under Triticum aestivum (bread wheat). Its description in RNAcentral is "partial small subunit ribosomal RNA". Lineage: Eukaryota; Viridiplantae; Streptophyta; Magnoliopsida; Poales; Poaceae. The record is from RNAcentral.